Molecule: long non-coding RNA, 1020 nt
Organism: Brassica oleracea var. oleracea
Lineage: Eukaryota; Viridiplantae; Streptophyta; Magnoliopsida; Brassicales; Brassicaceae
Exons: 5
Source: RefSeq, a predicted model, not a curated record
CUUUGAAAAAACCGUGGAGUCUACCAUUGAUGCCAACAGAGAAUGACGGGGAGGUGAAGCAGGCUGCGAGCCUCUGGAUGUAGUCUUGUGGGAGGUUAAGAGAUAGGAGGCAAGCAAUGAGGAAGUCCCAUCUUACAGAAUCAAAAGCCUUGGCUAUGUCCAGUUUUAAGGCAGCCGAGAGAGAAGAGCCGCUUGAGCUUGAGAGCAGGAAAAGCGGUCUGUUCGGAUCAUGUCAGCAACAGAGGAGAUCAUCAGGGGGGUAGUUUUCGGAGUAGGCGGCCCAAGGAUGUUCAAGAAGUGCGCCACAGCAAGGUUACCAAUAUCUUCAGAAACUGGAGUUUUUCAAGGAGGGCUUUCUCUGCGGCAAAGUUAUCUGAUGUGGGUUGACGUAGUGAGAGUACAUGCGCAUCCAUGAACAAACAUGCAAACCCAGGUUUCAGCAACCAGUUUAAGGAAGUCAGGGUGAAGGGUGAGGUAAUUGAAGAACUUGAAUGGUUUUGUUCCGGCUUGAGGUAGAGGACGGAUAGGUUCAAUGCAACAGGGAGUGUGAUCUGAGAUAUCAGGGGCAUGGAACACGGCAAGGCUACGGGGGUCCUGGAUUUCCAAUUGAUGCAGACAGGAGUUGAAAUCAAUCAUAGGGCUAGAGAUUUGCGAGAUAGAUGGUAUUGAGUGCUCUGAAGGAUGCCUUAUUUCGUUGAAGUCUCCCCUAACAAGCCAAGGGUAUGAGCCUAGGUUGAGAGUAGCAUGGAGAUCCAAGAGCUCCACCCACAGCUCAGUGCGUUCUUCUACAGUGUUACCUGCAUAGACCGCUGUGAAGUAGAAAGGUGGGACAGAAGGGUAAUCGACACGGCAAGUCAAAGAUUGUCUAGACUGGUGGGAGAUGGUGAUAUUAAGAUGGGGCUUCCAGAUCAAGAUGAUCCUUCCGUCAGGGUCUGAGUGAUGGUUUGAAACAUAAGACCAUGAAGGACAGAUAAGGGCCAUGGUCGGGCUGAGGGCAGGUUCUUUAAUAUGGGUUUCUAA